Molecule: ribosomal RNA, 465 nt
Filed under: uncultured bacterium
Lineage: Bacteria
Description: partial 16S ribosomal RNA
Rfam family: Bacterial small subunit ribosomal RNA
Source: RNAcentral
CUACGGGAGGCACCAGUGGGGAAUAUUGGACAAUGGGGGAAACCCUGAUCCAGCAAUGCCGCGUGUGUGAAGAAGGCCUGCGGGUUGUAAAGCACUUUCGGUUGGGAGGACUGCUUCUAGCACUAAUAUUGUUGGAAGUUGACGUUACCUUCAGAAGAAGCACCGGCUAACUCCGUGCCAGCAGCCGCGGUAAUACGGGGGGUGCAAGCGUUAAUCGGAAUUACUGGGCGUAAAGCGCGCGUAGGCGGCUAGAUCAGUCGGGUGUGAAAGCCCCGGGCUUAACCUGGGAACUGCAUCCGAUACUGUCUAGCUUGAGUACAGGAGAGGAGAGUGGAAUUCCACAUGUAGCGGUGAAAUGCGUAGAUAUGUGGAGGAACACCAAUGGCGAAGGCAGCUCUCUGGCCUGAUACUGACGCUGAGGUGCGAAAGCGUGGGGAGCAAACAGGAUUAGAUACCCGAGUAGUC